This 484-nucleotide ribosomal RNA is filed under the name uncultured bacterium. RNAcentral describes it as "partial 16S ribosomal RNA". It matches the Rfam family "Bacterial small subunit ribosomal RNA", at positions 30 to 507 of the family's 1533-position model. The record is from RNAcentral.
AUUGAACGCUGGCGGCAGGCCUAACACAUGCAAGUCGAGCGGAUGAAGGGAGCUUGCUCCUGGAUUCAGCGGCGGACGGGUGAGUAAUGCCUAGGAAUCUGACUGGUAGUGGGGGAUAACGUCAGGAAACGGGCGCUAAUACCGCAUACGUCCUGAGGGAGAAAGUGGGGGAUCUUCGGACCUCACGCUAUUAGCUGAGACUAGGACGGAUUAGCUAGUUGGUGGGGUAAAGGCGUACGAAGGCGACGAUCCGUAACUGGUCUGAGAGGAUGAUCAGACACCCUGGAACUGAGACACGGUCCAGACUCCUACGGGAGGCAGCAGUAGGGAAUCUUGCGCAAUGGGCGAAAGUCUGACGGAGCAACGCCGCGUGAGUGAUGAAGGUCUUCGGAUCGUAAACCUCUUUUAUUAGGGAAGAACAAAUGUAUAAGUAUCCGUGCCUGUUUUGACGGUACCUAAUAAGAAAGCCACGGCUAACUACGUG